This 465-nucleotide ribosomal RNA is filed under the name uncultured Lactococcus sp. Its description in RNAcentral is "bacterial SSU rRNA". It matches the Rfam family "Bacterial small subunit ribosomal RNA", at positions 338 to 795 of the family's 1533-position model. The record is from RNAcentral. Lineage: Bacteria; Bacillati; Bacillota; Bacilli; Lactobacillales; Streptococcaceae.
CCUACGGGUGGCAGCAGUAGGGAAUCUUCGGCAAUGGACGAAAGUCUGACCGAGCAACGCCGCGUGAGUGAAGAAGGUUUUCGGAUCGUAAAACUCUGUUGGUAGAGAAGAACGUUGGUGAGAGUGGAAAGCUCAUCAAGUGACGGUAACUACGCAGAAAGGGACGGCUAACUAGGUGCCAGCAGCGGCGGUAAUACGUAGGUCCCGAGCGUUGUCGGGAUUUAUGGGGGGUAAAGCGAGCGAAGGGGGGUUAUGAGUUGGAGUUUAAAAGGCAGUGGCUCAAUCAUGGUAUGCAUUGGAGACUGGUAGACUUGAGUGUAGGAGAGGAGAGUGGAAUUCCAUGUGUAGCGGUGAAAUGCGUAGAUAUAUGGAGGAACACCGGUGGCGAAAGCGGCUCUCUGGCCUGUAACUGACACUGAGGCUCGAAAGCGUGGGGAGCAAACAGGAUUAGAUACCCUGGUAGUC